UUUUUUUUUUUUUUUUUUUUUUUUUGCCCAUAAUAUCCAUCCCUCUCAGUCACUAAGUGACUGUGACAACACUUGUACAGUUGUUGGUGGCAUUAAAUCAGAUGGUGUAUAAGAGUAUUUUGAAAAACUGUAAAGGAGGAUGUGGCUGUAGGGGCUGGUAGUUCUCAUGAGUAUUACUGCUCUUCUUUCGCACAGCUUUAAGAAUAUCAGCAGAGGAACAGCCCUGGUGUUCCGGCAGGAGCAAAGACAAAAAAGAAAAAAACUGGAAGUAGCCCUGAGAAAACCAUUUCUGGUGGUUGUCACUCACCUGGGGAUGUGAGUCUUGGCUGGCCAGGCUCCUGGGUAAUUGUUGAGAUUGCUGGGUAAUUGUAGAGAAUUCUGUGUUUGAAUCCUGCCUCUCCCUCUGCUAGGGAUCUGAUUUAUGGCAAAUUGCUUGAGCUGUUUGGGCCUGUUUUUCACAUCUAUAAAAUAGGGGUAAUAUUGUUUGACUUCCAGUUGUGAAGUUUAAAUGAGAUUCCUUGUUGUUGUUGUUUUUCUGGUAAUCCCUAGUACAUGGCCUGCUGUAAACACCCACGAUACCCAGGAAAUGGUCAUUGCUGUUUGAUUUUCCUCAACCCCCGUCUCAAGGGGAAGCUGGGCCAAUGAGGACAGCCACUUGCCAUUAGGCUGUCGCUUUAGGAGUCACUGAAGGGGGCCCAGGCUGUGGUGAGGAGAGCCACAGGCACUAGGAGUAAGAGAAGAUCUAACUUGCCACCAGCUUGCUGGGUGAUCACAGAAAAAUCACUUCUUCCCCUGGGCCUCAGUUUCUUCCUCUGUAAGAUGAUACUGGAGAAGAUCAGUGUCUUUCAAACUUAUUUUUUAGCUGGAGCCCCCUUAGUUCAAGUGAACCCUUACUCAGAAGUCUGGUUUUUUAAUGGAGGUGGAGGUCUGGAGCUCUACCAGAUUCAUCACCCACAUCCCGGGCCUGAGAAAAGGGAGCCAGUGAGCGUAUUAAGAGCUGCAUUGGUCAGGUGACUCCACUCUGUGACUGCACCACUCAGGGGACUUUUCCAUCUAUUUGUUCCUGCCCCUGGCAAGGCAGCAGGUGGCCGUUUGGAAGAAUGGCACAGGCCAUGGUUUUAAUCUCCUCUGCUCUUCUUCAGCAUUUCAUUUCCUGAACCCACAUCUUCCUCCCACGCUGACUUUCUUGUUUCUCUCUAAGCCGCUUCUGUCUUUCUCCCUGUCCUUGUUUCUCCCUUGUCAUCUCCUAUAGAUUCAGGACAUUCAGAAGGUGCUUGUGUCCAACCUUAACCAUUCCAACGGGGUAGCACUCCCCCAUUGGACAAGUGGAAGGUUAGGCAGUGCUGAGAUCCCUCUCUGGCUUGCUGUCUCCAGCUGUGCAUGCCCCUGAGGCUUCUCUAGUUUGGGGAAUAGUUUGCCUCUGGCUUAUUUUAUGUUGCUGCCAUUAAUCUUUGGCCUGUUUAUGUCUGCUUCUUCACCUGCUUGAUUGAUUGGGUUUUUUCC
Molecule: long non-coding RNA, 1503 nt
Filed under: Macaca fascicularis (crab-eating macaque)
Lineage: Eukaryota; Metazoa; Chordata; Mammalia; Primates; Cercopithecidae
Description: lncRNA (ENSMFAG00000060603.1)
Source: RNAcentral